RNAcentral lists this transfer RNA (73 nucleotides) under Paramuricea clavata. It matches the Rfam family "tRNA". From Rfam's summary of the family: Transfer RNA (tRNA) molecules are approximately 80 nucleotides in length. Their secondary structure includes four short double-helical elements and three loops (D, anti-codon, and T loops). Further hydrogen bonds mediate the characteristic L-shaped molecular structure. tRNAs have two regions of fundamental functional importance: the anti-codon, which is responsible for specific mRNA codon recognition, and the 3' end, to which the tRNAs corresponding amino acid is attached (by aminoacyl-tRNA synthetases). tRNAs cope with the degeneracy of the genetic code in two manners: having more than one tRNA (with a specific anti-codon) for a particular amino acid; and 'wobble' base-pairing, i.e. permitting non-standard base-pairing at the 3rd anti-codon position. Lineage: Eukaryota; Metazoa; Cnidaria; Anthozoa; Malacalcyonacea; Plexauridae. The record is from Rfam by way of RNAcentral.
GCCUCUGUAGCUCAGUUGGUUAGAGCGCUGCGACUGAAUCGCACGACCGUAGGUUCAAUUCCUACCAUAGGAC